RNAcentral lists this small RNA (107 nucleotides) under Marmota monax (woodchuck). The record is from RNAcentral. Lineage: Eukaryota; Metazoa; Chordata; Mammalia; Rodentia; Sciuridae.
GCUGGGUGUGGUGGUGCACACCUGUAAUCUCAGCAACUCAGGAGUCUGGGGCAGGAAGAUCGCAAGUUCAAGGUCAGCCUCAGCAAUUUAGUGAGACCCUGUCUCAA